This 221-nucleotide long non-coding RNA is filed under the name Setaria italica (foxtail millet). RNAcentral describes it as "long non-coding RNA (SITA_LNC002852)". The record is from RNAcentral. Lineage: Eukaryota; Viridiplantae; Streptophyta; Magnoliopsida; Poales; Poaceae.
GGGUCCCUACCUUGCCUUAUAUUGCUGAGGGCAGGGUUACAGGUCGGUUGUUUACAAGAGUACUAAUUGGAUUGGACUAGAAAGUCCUACUCUAAUUGCUACUAGUAGUUUCCUAAUCCUCGACUAGUCCUUGUCGUCCAUGUAGACCACACCGUCCUGCAACGUAGUCUCCAUGUUUGAUACGUCUUAGUCUACAACCCCGUAUUGUAGGAUUGUCCAAG